ACUUCCGGCAAAGCCAUCCUUGGCGUUUCUUAAGCUCUUGACGGGCCGUUUUCUGUCGGCCUUGGGGACCCGAACACUGGGUUGGGGCCGCUUUCCAGGCGCCUUUUCGGGACCGAGCCGAGGUGGACAGCGAGGAGGGUGGGACCGGCCUCCGGGCUCUGCAAUGUCCUGUUAAGAGGUGUCCUCCGUCUCCACGGCCCCAGGGGGCGGCCUUUACACGGUAUGCAUACCAUCACCCACAUGGACACCAUCGUCAAAGCGUCUCAGCUGCCUGACAGAAAGGGCACAGUCACUCCAGGCUGCCAGUCUCUCCCACUCCAUUUCCUCGCACCCAGUGUUUCUUUACCACUUAAUAUACCCACCUGGCUCUUGCAUGAAUACAAGGAGGUGACCCUGCCUCACAGGAUCGGGGGUCCAGAGGGCACAUCUCCCAGCCUGGCAGAUGAGCUUCCUGUCAUCAUUGCUGUGAUGUGAUGUGAAACAUCCUUUACAACAAGAAAAGGCAACCUCUUCUCCUGGAUCAGCAUGAAGGUUUCAGAGCCCCUCUCACUUCCCCAGAUGCACUCUUGGCAUCCAAAUAAAAAGAUUUAGAACACA
This is a long non-coding RNA of Camelus dromedarius (Arabian camel), 597 nucleotides long. RefSeq lists it as uncharacterized. The record is from RefSeq and is a predicted model, not a curated record. The transcript has 2 exons. NCBI's taxonomy places the organism in Eukaryota, Metazoa, Chordata, Mammalia, Artiodactyla, Camelidae.